AGAGUCGGCCGGAUGGUCGCCGCCCCUUGGGGGGCGGAGGAAAGUCCGGGCUCCACAGGGCAAGGCGCCAGGUAACGCCUGGGGGGCGCGAGCCUACGGAAAGUGCCACAGAAAAGAUACCGCCUAAGCCCUUCGGGGCCGGUAAGGGUGAAAUGGUGCGGUAAGAGCGCACCGCGCCGGUGGCAACACCGGCGGCAGGGUAAACCCCGCCUGGAGCAAGACCAAAUAGAGGGGCGGGCGGCUUCGGCCGCAGCGUGUGGCCCGCACGGUCCCUGGGUAGGUUGCUAGAGGUGCGCGGCGACGCGCAUCCCAGAUGAAUGACCAUCCUUUGACAGAACCCGGCUUACAGGCCGGCUCUCAUU
Molecule: RNase P RNA, 362 nt
Filed under: Sedimenticola sp.
Lineage: Bacteria; Pseudomonadati; Pseudomonadota; Gammaproteobacteria; Chromatiales; Sedimenticolaceae
Description: RNase P RNA component class A
Rfam family: Bacterial RNase P class A
About the family: Ribonuclease P (RNase P) is a ubiquitous endoribonuclease, found in archaea, bacteria and eukarya as well as chloroplasts and mitochondria.
Source: RNAcentral